This 407-nucleotide ribosomal RNA is filed under the name uncultured bacterium. RNAcentral's name for it is "partial 16S ribosomal RNA". It matches the Rfam family "Bacterial small subunit ribosomal RNA", at positions 28 to 526 of the family's 1533-position model. The record is from RNAcentral.
GACGAACGCUGGCGGCGUGCCUAAUACAUGCAAGUAGAACGCAGUUGCGAACGGGUGAGUAACGCGUAGGUAACUGCCUGGUAGCGGGGGAUAACUAUUGGAAACGAUAGCUAAUACCGCAUACUACCAGCUGGACCUGCGUUGUAUUAGCUAGUUGGUGAGGUAACGGCUCAACAAGGCAACGAUACAUCGCCGACCUGGGGGGGUGAUCGGGCACACCGGGAACGGGACACGGGCCAGACUCCUACGGGGAGCAGGAGUAGGGGAUCUUCGGCAAUGGGGGGAACACUGACCGCGGAAAGCCGCGGGAGUGAAGAAGGUUUUCGGAUCGUAAAGCUCUGUUGUUAAGGAAGCGGUACUUAACCAGAAAGGGACGGCUAACUACGUGCCAGCAGCCGCGGUAAUAC